UCCCUACGCAGAGCAGUAAACUGAGUAUCCAGAGACCUGGCUGCAGCUAACCAUGCAAGCACAAUCACCAGAAGGGUUCCACCAAGGUAAGGAGUUGAAUUGGCAAGUGACCCAAAGGAUAAGAUCAUAAAUUGUUGAAUCAAAGCUCCUCCAGACUUGCCCAAUGGAUUGCAUACGACAUCAAUGGCUGCCUUCCCUUUAACCUUGGUCUCCUCAUCCAAGGGAAUAUAGGCCAUCUCUUUACAUGGGUCAAACAAGCUGUACUUGGCACUCUU
RNAcentral lists this unclassified non-coding RNA (275 nucleotides) under Hevea brasiliensis (rubber tree). Lineage: Eukaryota; Viridiplantae; Streptophyta; Magnoliopsida; Malpighiales; Euphorbiaceae. The record is from RNAcentral.